GGCCUGGCUGGGCGGUCUGCCUCACGGUACGUACUGUCCGGCUGGGUCUUACCUCUUGGUGAGCGGGCAUGCCCUUCACUGGGUGUGUUCGUGAACCAGGACUUUUACUUUGAGAAAAUUAGAGUGUUCAAAGCAGGCAUGUUUGUCUGAAUACAUUAGCAUGGAAUAAUAGAAUAGGACAUGCGGUUCUAUUUUGUUGGUUUCUAGAGUCGCUGUA
RNAcentral lists this ribosomal RNA (217 nucleotides) under uncultured fungus. Its description in RNAcentral is "partial small subunit ribosomal RNA". The stretch from base 88 to 217 matches the Rfam family "Eukaryotic small subunit ribosomal RNA", at positions 735 to 864 of the family's 1831-position model. Lineage: Eukaryota; Fungi. The record is from RNAcentral.